Molecule: ribosomal RNA, 279 nt
Filed under: Ralstonia solanacearum
Lineage: Bacteria; Pseudomonadati; Pseudomonadota; Betaproteobacteria; Burkholderiales; Burkholderiaceae
Description: partial 16S ribosomal RNA
Rfam family: Bacterial small subunit ribosomal RNA
Source: RNAcentral
AGCUUGCUACCUGCCGGCGAGUGGCGAACGGGUGAGUAAUACAUCGGAACGUGCCCUGUAGUGGGGGAUAACUAGUCGAAAGACUAGCUAAUACCGCAUACGACCUGAGGGUGAAAGUGGGGGACCGCAAGGCCUCAUGCUAUAGGAGCGGCCGAUGUCUGAUUAGCUAGUUGGUGGGGUAAAGGCCCACCAAGGCGACGAUCAGUAGCUGGUCUGAGAGGACGAUCAGCCACACUGGGACUGAGACACGGCCCAGACUCCUACGGGAGGCAGCAGUGG